UGGGGAAUUUUGCACAAUGGGGGAAACCCUGAUGCAGCGACGCCGCGUGAUUUAGAAGGCCUUCGGGUUGUAAAAAUCUUUUUUACGGGAUGAAAAUGACAGUACCGUAAGAAUAAGGUCCGGCUAAAUACGUGCCAGCAGCCGCGGUAAUACGUAUGGACCGAGCGUUGUCCGGAAUCAUUGGGCGUAAAGGGUACGUAGGCGGCCUAGUAAGUUAGAAGUUAAAGAAUAUAGCUCAACUAUAUAAAGCUUUUAAAACUGCUAGGCUUGAGAGAUGGAAGGGAAAGUGGAAUUCCUAGUGUAGCGGUGAAAUGCGCAGGUAUUAGGAAGAAUACCGGUGGCGAAGGCGACUUUCUGGUCAUCAUCUGACGCUGAGGUACGAAAGCGUGGGUAGCAAACAGG
This 402-nucleotide ribosomal RNA is filed under the name Bacteroidota bacterium. RNAcentral's name for it is "Bacteroidetes bacterium partial 16S ribosomal RNA". It matches the Rfam family "Bacterial small subunit ribosomal RNA", at positions 355 to 776 of the family's 1533-position model. Lineage: Bacteria; Pseudomonadati; Bacteroidota. The record is from RNAcentral.